CACCCCAACCAAGGGCCCGGCUCCCGGCCCACAGGUUCCGCCCUCGCCCCGGGAGUAGGCACCGCCUCCUCCAGCCGCCCGCAGAAAAAACUUCCCUUGUGCCUCUCGCGGGACCUAGGCCUUUUUGGCAAGAUUUUGAUAACACAGGCAAAGCACUGUCCCGCGAGGUGUGGAACCGGAAACGUGAGGGAUGAGAGCGGAUUCCGGCGGAACCCGGAAGCCUAGCUGUUUUGCUUCCUGGAUCUUUCGUUGCCGGGCAGCGUGGAGCUGGCGUCUGGCGUGUCCUAGCGGGAUGGUGUUGACCCGGCUGACCGCGGCGCCGGAGCGCAGGCUGGCCCGGCGGGUGUGCGGAGUCGUGCUGGACCACUUCGACGCCCAGUACUCCAGCGAGCUCGGCGACGCCUGGGCCGCGGUCAGGGACAUACUAACAUCGCCCUGCUGCUGGCAGUAUGCUGUCCUUCUAAACCGAUUCAAUUAUCCUUUCAACCUGGAAGAGGCUUUACGUUUGAGGGGCUAUCGCACCGUCUUCCAAGGAUCUUUACCCCACUGUCCUAAAUCCAUGAAGUGUUACCUUAGCACAACUGCGGGCAGGAUGCCUUCAGAAAGACACCAAGUUGGAAACCUAAAAAAAUACUAUCUCCUGAAUGCGGCCUCUCUCCUCCCAGUGCUGGCUCUGGAGUUGAGGGAUGGGGAGAAGGUUCUGGAUCUGUGUGCUGCUCCCGGGGGCAAGUCGAUCGCCCUGCUGCAGUGUGCGGACCCAGCACAUUUCGGUUUGGACCAGCCACGUUCAAGCUCACAGCCAUCUGUGGCAAAUCGAUAUGGUAUUGGACAAUGUUAUCUUCACUGCAACGAAUACGAUCAUUUGAGGUUGAAGUGGCUGAUGCAGACCUUGGAAUCUUUCAUCCCACAGCCUUUGGUGAAUGGGAUUAAAGUAUCUCAGUCGGACGGCAGAGACGUGGGGGACGCCCAGCCUGAAACUUUUGACAAGGUGCUGGUUGAUGCUCCGUGUUCAAACGAUCGGAGCUGGCUGUUCUCUCCUGAUGCUCAGAAGGCGGCCUGCAGGAUAAGCCAGAGGAGGAGUCUGCCUCUGCUGCAGAGAGGGCUCCUGCGCGCUGUAGGAGCGGCUUUGGGCCAGGAGGCACCUUUUGGCAGCGGCCACGUUGUUCUGGGUGAGCUAGCCUCCUAGGAAGUUGUGGUUUGUUGUUAGCACUCAUCGCCCCUCUAAGAAUUUUCCAGAAGAGCAUGACCACCAAGAGGUAAUUGUUUUCCUUGAGAACAGAGGCAUUUUGGGACAUCCCAUCCUGGUUUCAAAAGAGAUUUCUACUUUUAUCCUACUCCCAAGUGGUUCCUGUUGUUCAUACUUAACAGGAAUUCUCUGAGCUGUGUGAGGUCUAGUUAAGCGACACCUUCGUGGAGUGAGGGCAAGGGCGGUGCACGAGCUCUGCAGAUUCUGGGUCCGUGUCCACCUUCUGACUGGUCCACGGCGAACGUGCCGAGCUGUGUCAGGUCUAGCAUGAAAAGUUUAUUGGAAGACACAGUGACAACAGGAGAAAAGUCCCAAAGCAUCUGAGAUAGGGGUUACCUCCUGACUGUGAGGCAUGGCCUUCCUCUUUCAUCAUUGGUGACCAGAAGUUGAUGUGUUCAUAUUGGAAGAAUAAUCUUUGGACAUGUAGCUCUCUUAGAAUGAAAGAUUUCCACCACUGUUUCAGGGGACAGUGAGAAGUAAGAAGAUACACGUGAAAACCUGUUAGAGACGAACGACAAGCACUGAAGGUUCAGGAGGCCCUCAGUGGUCACUCCCAAACCUCUAAAUCACGUUUCUUCUUUAUUUUUAUUUAUGAGCUUUAGACGCUGACUGCUGACUUCUCACCGGGACUUCUCUCUCGCACUACCCUUUCCCUUCAUGCCCUUCCAGCCUGCUGCUCACCCCUUCUCAGCUUCGCCCGUGGUGAGCUCUCGAGUCCGGCUCACCGGGAGCUGCAUCUUGGCUCCUGUGAGUGUGGAGAGUACCUCUGACACGCUUCAGCUUUGUUCUGUUUCCUCUGAGAAGCAGUCAGGGCAAGGCCCUAUGUCUGCCCCUGUAAUGCAGGAUCAUUUACAGCCCCUCUGCUUCCCGGGCUCUUAACAGCUGUACCUUCACUAGUCAGGGUUGACAGGGUUCUCUCUGAGAAUUUAUGUCUGUUCUGUAACAGUACUACCAACAGGCUAUGGAAUGAUUCUGAAGGGUGAAGACCAGUAGUAAGUAUCCGUUGUUUACUUCUGCAAAUGUUGUUCACUGCAGAUGGACUAAGAUGUUAGAAUUAAAUUUCCUUCUCUGUUGAUUAGGUGUUGUGAUCGGAGUGCCACUGAAAGGAAAUUUCCUACCAUCAGAUUACAGGGGAAAUCUCUCUCCUCUCUUCCUCCCUCUCUCUUUCUCUCUACCCUGCGGGUACUUGUGCCAAGACUUCAAGGUUUUUUCUGUUUUGAGUCAUUGUGUCUCACUUCUUUCUAGAGAGAUCCCUCUCAUUCUCAUCUGGAGUGGUCACCCCCCAGGGCUCUGGAGACUUCCCUCUCAUUGUGAUCUGAAGCAGUCACUCUCCUGGGCUCUGGAGGCCUCCCUCUCAUUCUCAUCUGGAGUGGUCACCCCCUAGUGCUCUGGAGACCUCCCUCUCAUAGUGAUCUGGAGCCUCACCCUCCUGGGCUCUGGAGGCCUCCCUCUCAUUCUCAUCUGGAGUGGUCACCCCCUAGUGCUCUGGAGACCUCCCUCUCAUUGUGAUCUGGAGCCUCACCCUCCGGGGCUCUGGAGAACUCCCUCUCAUUCUCAUCUGGAGCGGUCACACCCCAGGGCUCUGGAGACCUCCCUCUCAUAGUGAUCUGGAGCCUCAUCCUCCGGGGCUCUGGAGAACUCCCUCUCAUUCUCAUCUGGAGCGGUCACCCUCUGGGGCUCCCAUGCAGUUAUCAUCCUGGGAUUUCACUUGUAUGUUGUGUUCACUGUUUUCUCUAUCACCUUCCUCCUUUCUUUUGAUUUACCUCCUCAUUUUGCUAGAGGUCUAAUUUCUAAAUCAUCAAAUACCUGACAUUUUCUGUAUCCCUUCAGUAUAUUUAUUUGACAGUUUGGCAGUGAAUGGUACCCACUUUACGUUGCCUUUUUCCAGGAUUGGAGUGCACUGCUCCGCUGACACCAGUCUCGCUCCUGGACCCUCAUAGGCGACUCGUUUUUCUCCCUGGAGGCAUUUAGUGUCUUCUCUUUGUUCUUGACAUUCUAAAAUUUAGCGAUAAAGCCUAAGUGUGGAUGUUUUCGUUCAUUGUAAGGUUGAAGUCGUGCAGUGUUGUACAAGACCCUCUGCCUCUCCUCCUAACUCUCGGGUCUCACCUCAUCCUUCCACCCCGCCAGCUUACCUUCCUGCAGCCUCACUGGCCUCCUCUUUCCUCAAAGAGGCCUCCAGGGAGGGGGAGGGGCUAGAGAUGGAGCCCACUCACCAGAGACCAGUGAUGUAAUCACUUACGCCUACUUAAUGAAGUUUCCAUAAAAACCCCAACUGAAGGGAUUUGGAGGGCCUCCCGGGGGGUGAGGAGGUGCUGGAGGGGUGUCUGGAAAGGGCAUGGAAGCCCUACAUGCCUUCUCCCGUGCUUCGCCCAGGCAUCUCUCCCAUCUGGCUGUUCCUGAAUUGUAUCUUUCUGUAAUAAAUCAUUAAUCUAGUAAAUAAACUGUCUUCCUGAGUUCUGUGAGCCAUUCUAGCAAAGUAUUGAACCCACGGAGGGGGUCAUGGGUCAGAAGUACCGGAGGGCUGGACUUGCACUUGGCGUCUGAAGGGCAGUCUUGAAGGGCCCAGCUCUUCACUCAUGGGAUCUGAUGGAAACUCCAGGUGGAGAGUCAGAACUGAGGUAAAUUUUAGGACAUGCAGUCAGCGUUUGCAGAGAAUUGGAGGAUUGCUUGGUGAAGGAAAAGCAUGCAAACACAUAUACAUACAUGUGUGUGGUUGUGUGUAUGUAUGUAUUUAUGUGUGUAUACUGUGUAUCAGUCUGCCAGGCCUGCUACAACAUACAUACACAUGUGUGUGUUGUGAGUGUGUAUGUAUUUAUGUGUGUAUCCUUUGUGUCAGUCUGCAGACUGGGGCCUUGGACCCCAGAAGUUCCUUCUCCCGGUUCUGGAGGCUGGAAGUCAGUGAAGGAGCCGCGGGCUGGUUCCUCCUGAGGCCUCUCUGCUCAGCUGGGGAGAGCUGUCUUCUCCCUGUAUCUUCACAUCAUAUCCCACUGUGUGUACCUGUGCCCAAAUUUCCUCUCAGAAGGACAUCAUGGUAUUGGAUUAGGGACCACCCUAAAGCCGUCAUUUUUUCUCAUUACCUUUUUAAAGAUCCUGUCUCCAGAUACAGUCACAACACUGGGGCCAGGACUUUACCAUGAAUUUGGUGGGGGCACAGUUCAGCCCACGAUAGACUUACUUAUUUCUAUAUUCUGUCUCCCCGAGCUGGAGUGUAAGGUUCAUGAAGGUGAGGCUUUUUGUUGUUUUUCUAUUUCAAUAUAUACCCCACACCUAGAGCAAUGCCCAGCAAUGUAGUAGAUGCUUAAGAAACAAUAUCGAACCUUCCAGCCUCUUGAUGAGUUCUCUCAAUCUGAACACCCGUCCUUUCAUCUCUGGAAGACUCUCUUCUGAUUAUUCGUUAAUUCAAGUACCCUCCCCCAGUUCUCUGUGUUGUCUUCCUGUCAGUUGAAAUUUGGACCCACUUGAUUGAUCUUUCCUGUCUCAUUUUCAGUCACUGUUCUACUUUUUGGAAGAUUUCUGCAACCUUAACUUCCAGACACUUCUACAGAAGGCUGUAUUUUGACGAGCAUGCUUAAUUCCUGAGCGCUGUUCCUCAUCCUGUCUCAUGGCAUUCUGUCACUGUUUUAUGGGUGCUGCAUCUUUGCUGAUCUUCUUGCAUUUAUUAGGUCUCAUUGUAUCUGUUUUGUUUCCUGAAUUUUAUGUUUCUUCCUAUGCCAUUUUUUUUUGUUUAUUUUAUUCUUGCUCUUACAAGCGCUUGGGCAUUUCUCACGCUUAAUUAUCUGCAGUCCUUGGUUGUACAUUUUUAUUUACUGAUGGGACAAUGAAGCACCAGGACGCUUGCUGCAGGGAUGGGACCCUGCCCUCAGGAUGAGCUCGCUGUUACCUGGAGGCCCCUUCAAGGUCUGCAAUCAAGGCCCUGCGUCCUGGAGGCCUCCUCGUGUACUCUACCUGCACACUUUCCAGGGCAGAAAAUCAAGACGUGAUCAAUGAUGUGUUAAACACCCACAGCAACGUCAUCCCUGUGGACAUUACGGA
Non-coding RNA from Equus caballus (horse), 5278 nucleotides. The record is from RefSeq and is a predicted model, not a curated record. Lineage: Eukaryota; Metazoa; Chordata; Mammalia; Perissodactyla; Equidae.